RNAcentral lists this long non-coding RNA (830 nucleotides) under Homo sapiens (human). Its description in RNAcentral is "non-protein coding lnc-GINS1-7:1". The record is from RNAcentral. Lineage: Eukaryota; Metazoa; Chordata; Mammalia; Primates; Hominidae.
UUCAGACAACACCUUUUUGCUUUUCUUCCACAUCUUCACACUCCUUCAGGAUCAAAAACCUAAGCCACAUGACUGGAUGAGCCGUCACUUGGCCUUCAUUCGGGUAGUGAUGGUCCUCACUGUAGUGGAUGUUUUGCCUCCAGAUAUGCUUGAAUCACUGCAUUUUGGGAAUAACUUCAAAUGCAAGUCCUUGAUCUAAAUAAACAGAGUGACGAGGGGCCUAUGUAUCUAUACCACCUGUCUCCUGAGUAUACACCAGGCCAGCAUAAUCAGCCUCAGCAACUUCUGGUUGGAAAGCUUUAAACAUAAAUUUACAAAUAACAUUGUCAGUGUCCUCUUUUUUCUUUUUUGUUCCCUCAAUUUGUCUUUCAGUAGUGACAUAAUAUUCUUCACUGUGGCUUCUUCCAUUGUGACCCAGACCAAUCUACUUAAGGUCCGCAAAUACUGCUCACGUUCUCCCAUGAAGUCCAUCAUGUGGGGAGUGUUUUCCUUGUAGGAUUACGCUGCUCUCAAGUGCAUACAUGAUGAUCUUUUUGUCCAAGCAUCAGAGGUGAUCCCAGCAUCUUCACAGUACCAGCCUUUCCCCAAGAUCCUCGCCAGAGAAAAGGGUUACCCAGAUCAUCCUGCCACUGGUGAGUUGCUUUGUUGUCAUGUACUGGGUGGACCUUAUCAUCUCAUCCUCUUCAUCCCUGUUAUGGACGUAUAACCCAGUCAUCCUGAGCAUCUAGAACCUUGUAGCCUGUGUCUAUGCCACUCUCGUUCCAUUGGUACAAAUCCGCUCUGAUAAAAGAAUAGUUAAUAUUCUCCAAAAAAUGGAAUUAAAGUGCUAU